AACGAACGCUGGCGGCGUGGAUAAGACAUGCAAGUCGAACGGGAUUUGUUUGGUAGUAAUAUUAAACAAGUCUAGUGGCGAAUGGGUGCGUAACACGUGGGCAAUCUACCGAAAAGUGGGGGAUAGCUCGCCGAAAGGCGAAUUAAUACCGCAUGUGACCUUGGGGGACAUCCCUUGAUGGUUAAAGCCGGGGUAACCUGGCGCUUUUUGAUGAGCCCGCGGCCUAUCAGCUAGUUGGUGAGGUAACGGCUCACCAAGGCUAUGACGGGUAGCUGGUCUGAGAGGACGACCAGCCACACUGGAACUGAGACACGGUCCAGACACCUACGGGUGGCAGCAGUCGAGAAUUUUUCUCAAUGGGGGAAACCCUGAAGGAGCGACGCCGCGUGGAGGAUGAAGGUUUUCGGAUUGUAAACUCCUGUCAUUGGGGAACAAGUGCGUGGGGAGUAACUGCCCUGCGUUUGAUAGUACCCGAAGAGGAAGAGACGGCUAACUCUGUGCCAGCAGCCGCAGUA
RNAcentral lists this ribosomal RNA (515 nucleotides) under uncultured bacterium. RNAcentral describes it as "bacterial SSU rRNA". It matches the Rfam family "Bacterial small subunit ribosomal RNA", at positions 29 to 522 of the family's 1533-position model. The record is from RNAcentral.